GUUUUGGGGCUUGCCCUUUCAGAAUGCUACCUCCAGGUGAUGAAACAUGACCAGCUGACAGCCAACACCAACCUCUAGACAUGUGUGUGAGGCCAUAUUAGACCCCACCCCUCCACCCAGGCUCAGCUGAACUGCCAGAUAGAUGGCUUCGGCAGCAUGAACCAUCAGGCACAACCAGCAGAAGAACCACUAGGAGCUACGCAAUCACAAAGGUCACUUCUUCAGUCAAGUGCAGCAGAUGGGAUCUUGAAAGUGCCUACAAGUAGUCUAGAACACCUUGAAUCCGGCUGUGAAAAUGUAGGGUAAAUCUGUAGCUCUCAGUAGGUAAACACCUUAUUUAGGUCUGGAGGCAUUUUGCUAUGUUAUUGAGUCAUGGAAACCUAUUAAAAGAGCUCUAUGGGAAAUCCAGUCUAUAUUUUGAACAAAA
This is a long non-coding RNA of Homo sapiens (human), 427 nucleotides long. RefSeq lists it as uncharacterized. NCBI's taxonomy places the organism in Eukaryota, Metazoa, Chordata, Mammalia, Primates, Hominidae. The record is from RefSeq and is a predicted model, not a curated record. The transcript has 2 exons.